This 510-nucleotide ribosomal RNA is filed under the name Triticum aestivum (bread wheat). Its description in RNAcentral is "partial small subunit ribosomal RNA". Lineage: Eukaryota; Viridiplantae; Streptophyta; Magnoliopsida; Poales; Poaceae. The record is from RNAcentral.
GGUAUGGAAUGAGAACAACUAUCUAUCCAAGGAAAAGAAAUUUUAUUUAAGGCACUGGCGUGGGCUAUUCCUAUUUAUGCAAUGUCAGUCAAAAUUCCAAAAGCUAUGUGCAAGGAUAUAAUAGAUAUUAUAUCAAAAUUUUGGUGGGCUGACGAUAAAAAUAGUAAAAGGAUGCAUUGGUGGGCAUGGUGGAAAUUAUGUUCUCCAAAAAAGAAUGGAGGGAUGGGAUUCUAUGACCUCCACUCGUUUAACUUAGCAAUUCUAGCUAAGAAAGUUUGGGGCUUAACUGGUGAACCUGUAUCAUUGUGUGAUAUGGCACUUCGAGUGAAAUAUUAUCCCUUUGGUGACAUUUUGAAAGCUGCACCAAAGAAGGGUUCACCACUCACAUGGCAAAGUCUAGUUGCUAGUAUUCAAACUUUUAAACGUGGGCAUAUAUGGAGAGUUGGCAAGCGGGAAAUGUUCAACAUUUGGGGAGACCAAUGGGUGCCUUUCGCCCCACAAGGCAAGUGA